RNAcentral lists this ribosomal RNA (544 nucleotides) under Sporisorium sp. DMKU-SP244. Its description in RNAcentral is "LSU rRNA". It matches the Rfam family "Eukaryotic large subunit ribosomal RNA", at positions 124 to 649 of the family's 3401-position model. Lineage: Eukaryota; Fungi; Basidiomycota; Ustilaginomycetes; Ustilaginales; Ustilaginaceae. The record is from RNAcentral.
GGCGUCUUCGGCGUCCGCAUUGUAAUCUCAAGAAGUGUUUUCCGCUUCGGACCAUGCCUAAGUCCCUUGGAAAAGGGCAUCAUAGAGGGUGAUAAUCCCGUACAUGGCAUGGAGCGCCCGAGGCUUUGUGAUACGCUUUCUAAGAGUCGAGAUGUUUGGGAAUGCAGCUCAAAAUGGGUGGUAAAUGCCAUCUAAGGCUAAAUAUUGGGGAGAGACCGAUAGCGAACAAGUACAGUGAUGGAAAGAUGAAAAGAACUUUGAAAAGAGAGUUAAACAGUACGUGAAAUUGCCAAAAGGGAAGGGUAGGAGGUCAGAGUUGCGUCUUGGGAUUCAGCCUUGCUUUUGCUUGGUGUUUUUCCCAAGUUGCAGGCCAACGUCGGUUUUGGGCACUGGAGAAGGGUGGAAGGAACGUGGCACCUCUCGGGGUGUGUUAUAGCCUUCAACUGGAUACAGCGACCGAGACCGAGGACAGCAGCGUACUCGCAAGAGCGGGCCUUCGGGCACCUUUACGCUUAGGGCGUUGGCAUAAUGGCCCUCUACCACC